CCUCAUGGAUACUGGCUGGAUUCAUUUCCACUGCACCAUAACGGGACCCCCCUGAAAGGAUCAUCUUCUAAUGAUAACAAACUAUUCCCUAACUUAUGGGUCCUGCAUGUUGCCACCGUCUGGGCUGCCAGUGUAUCGUACCUUUUGCCAAGUUGCCUUGAAACUCAGGCGGCUCAUUCACAUCCGUUACCUGGACCGUCAGGAUCUGCAGAGAAAAACUCAUGGAAAAGCUGAGAAAUGCGGAAAGGCGACAGAGGAUAAGGUGAAGGUUGAAGGCAUUGUCUUCUUUCCUGCCAGCUGUAUCUUUUUACAGCCAUCCAUGCACGUGACAGUAAGAACCACGUUUCUUCUGCUUCAGACUUGGUGCUUCUAACUGGUAUCUGAAGACUGUUACACCUGUGUCUGAGGUACUUUUUGGCUGUGGGAACGUGGCAGAUCACCUACCUUAACUGGUCCUUGGUCAUUUCUACCACUGAGAAGAUACCUACUCUGUAAAGUCCUCACGAGAAAAAAUAUAAAAACCACAUCUGAAGUCACUGUGAACUCACUCCAGCCCUAUUCAGAGGUGGACAGCCAGAAUCAAGUGCUCAGAAAUGGCAAGAGAGAUCCUGAGAAGGAAACAGCUGAUGUUUCGAAUGUUUGGGGGAGGGGCAGUAGAAAUGACUUUUUUUUUUCUCUCUCUCUAAAAGGCAUAAUUGAGACCAAAUUCACCAAGAGACACUGACAAAAAGUCAGGCUUAGAAACCAGUGGUUUAUGACCUCUCUGGCACCUUGAGUUUAGGAAUCCACAUGUGAUGUUUACUGAGUUGAAUUUUGAAGAAUGAAGCAAAAGUGUUUUGGUGGAAAUGCUGCUCAGUUCAACGUUAAGAACUGUUUCAGCUCAGGCUGCUUGUGGAAGGUAGUGAGUGCCCCGUGGCUGGAGGCAUCCCAGUGUGGACGGCAUAAUCGCCUGCCAGGGAUGGUAAGCAAGGGACUCUUGCCCUGCAGCCUGGUUAGGUUAGUGGUUGUGAAACCAGGCUGAUCAUUGGAAGCACAAGGAGAGCUUUUUGAAAUGGAGGUUUUGUGUCCACACACUCCUAAAUGAACCAGAACAAAUAUGUAUUUGAGGAGUUCCUGGUUAACGAAUCCGACUG
This is a long non-coding RNA of Phacochoerus africanus (Common warthog), 1133 nucleotides long. RefSeq lists it as uncharacterized. The record is from RefSeq and is a predicted model, not a curated record. The transcript has 5 exons. Lineage: Eukaryota; Metazoa; Chordata; Mammalia; Artiodactyla; Suidae.